CAGUGAAGUGAUGAACAUUGUUUCCCUAUUGGUUUGAUUUGCCACUAUGAUGGCUUCUAUUGCUUCAAACUUUCUUAUUACUG
This is a small nucleolar RNA of Marchantia polymorpha subsp. polymorpha, 83 nucleotides long. It matches the Rfam family "Small nucleolar RNA Z102/R77". Rfam says of the family: Z102 and R77 and are members of the C/D class of snoRNA which contain the C (UGAUGA) and D (CUGA) box motifs. The record is from Rfam. Lineage: Eukaryota; Viridiplantae; Streptophyta; Marchantiopsida; Marchantiales; Marchantiaceae.